RNAcentral lists this ribosomal RNA (332 nucleotides) under uncultured eukaryote. Its description in RNAcentral is "partial 18S ribosomal RNA". It matches the Rfam family "Eukaryotic small subunit ribosomal RNA", at positions 1470 to 1796 of the family's 1831-position model. The record is from RNAcentral.
CCCUUAGAUGUCCUGGGCUGCACGCGCGCUACACUGGAAGUUACGGAUUGAGAUACUACCUUGUCCGAAAUGGUCCGGGUAAUCACCUAAAAGCUUGUCAUAAUUGGAAUGGAUUAUUGUAACUAGUAAUCCUGAACGAGGAAUUCCUGGUAAGUCCCAGUCAACAGCUGGUACUGAUUACGUCCCUGCCCUUUGUACACACCGCCCGUCGCUACUACUGAUUGGACGUUUAAGCAAGAUUUUUAAACACUGACAGUGUGUAGUUCACGCUAUACUACAGUGAGAAGAAGAAGAUCGAGCUUACUUGUCUAGAGGAAGUAAAAGUCGUAACA